AGUCUCGAUCUUCCCCUGUGAAGCUGUCAGCGACCAUCAGAGGGUACGCCGGGGUGGCGCGGGGACGAUGCCAGGAGCCUUGGAGUGCAGAAGGCUUCGACUCCCCGCACCCACAGAGUUGCGUAGGGAACCACGGGCAACCGACUCUUCCUUGUCAGCCCCUCCCUAGCUUCUGCGGCUUCACACCUCCAUUCCGCGCCGGGCAGAGUCUGGCGGCUCCUGGAGCACGGAAGGCCCACAAGCGUACCCGUGGGGCCGCGGCCAAGGCUGGACUUUGAGCCCAGGACCCCAGGACCGCCCUUAGAAGGCUGCGCCGGCCCGCGAGAGGUCUGGGAUCUGGACAGCGCGGGGGCUGGCUCACAGGGACUGGUGAAGGAAACUGCCGGGACCCCUGCCACAGCCAUGGCUCCCCGCAAAGACGACCUCGAGCAGGCACUGCGGGCAGUUUGUACUAGCGCCUAGAACCCUGACACCGGGAAUUAGUCUCUUGGAAGAGCUAGCGAUUGGAGGCUCAGGAGUUAGGCUGUUUCCUUGUUAACCAACAAAAUCAGGUGAAACCAACGAAGUCAGGAAGCCUAAAGACAUAUAUGUACAGAUAUCUAACCCUUUACGCUAAUUAUUUAGAUUUUUAAUAAAUCUAUCUUAAUGUUUAGGUAUGAAGACGGGAGGAACUGUGGAAUUUUAGUCAAGUUACAGGGAAGAAACGCUUUCUAAAAAAAGAAAAACAUUGCUCACAUGUGACCUCACAGUCUUAUUUAACCCAUGGAACCAAAAUAUAUCAGAGUUUGUAUCAAACUAAUCUUAUAAAUUUUCAGCAACCCCAUCCAUUCACUCACUCCCCCUCCAGGAUGAGGAAGCUCGUACAAUGGGAUGUAAUCCUCAGAGAAAUUUAGGAAAUAACUUGUAUAUGGUUGGAAGGCUGGAUAAAAAUACUUUGGGCAGGCGUGGUAGCUCACGUCUGUAAUCGCAACACUGCAAGGCCGAGGCAGGCAGAUCGCUUUAGCUCUGUAGUUCGAAACCAGCUUGGGCAACAGUAAGACCCUGUCUCUACAAAAAAAAAAAAAAAAAAAAAAUUUUAAUUAGCCAGGUGUGGCCGGGCGCUGUGGCUCACGCCUGUUAUCCCAGCACUUUGGGAGGCCGAGGCGAGUGGAUCACCUGAGGUCACGAGUUCAAGACCAGCCUGACCAGCAUGGUGAAACCCCGUCUCCAAAAAAUUAGCCGGCGUGGUGGCGGCGAAUGCCUGUAAUCCCAACUACCUGGGAGGCUGGGACAGGAGAAUUGCUUGAACCCAGGAGGCAGAGGUUGCAGUGAGCCGAGAUUGUGCCAUUGCACUCCAGCCCGGGCAACAAGAGCGAGACACCGUCUCAAAAACAAACAAAAAUUAGCCAGGUGUGGUCACGGCGCACACCUGUGGUCCCACUCGGGUGGCUGAGGUGGGAGGGUAGCUUGAGUGUGGGAAGUCAACGCUGCAGUGAGUGCCACUUGUACUUCAGCCUGGGCAACAGAGGGGGGCCCUAUCUCAAAAAACAAAUACUUUUUGAGAAUUUCAUUUAAUUAGGUAUACAAAUUAAAUUUUAUUUUCUUUAAGUGGCUACCAACUCCCACUGAUUUGCAGCUAGAGUUUAUGCUCUAAAUAAGGGUCUGAAGAU
Molecule: long non-coding RNA, 1649 nt
Filed under: Homo sapiens (human)
Lineage: Eukaryota; Metazoa; Chordata; Mammalia; Primates; Hominidae
Description: non-protein coding lnc-IL3-4:2
Source: RNAcentral